GCCCUUGCUCAGCCCGCGCGCGUUUAGUUAUCCACACUCGGUNUCAGGUUGGUUUCACGCUCUUUCACCCCUGGCCGGGUCGUUUCCCAGCCUCCCUGCGUGCCGGGCCGCGCGCGCCUCGGGUGGCGCGUGGCGGCGGGUGCGCCUCUCGGCCUCUCCUCUGUCGGGGGGCUCCGUCAGGGCACACACCUUCACGCUCACAUUCACCCGCCAUCACGCACCCUCACGCGGUAGCACACAUGCCCACGGGGGCAUCUUCCGGCACUCUUUUGGCGCCGCAUUGCACAUGCAGCCCGCAUUGUCUGCGCAUUCAGCUUCAGUUCUGCGCCGGUGGGUCNCAACAGGCCCCCACCCACAAGGCUGCACGCAUCCCGGUCAGCCUUUCGGGUUCUUAGCAAGGCCAAGCGGCAUUAGGCAAUCCCCAGGCUCCUGCNCCUACCUUUAGGCCACNACCUUAGCAUGGCACCACCUGGGGGUUCCCCCCUNGGCCACNUUCUCCUUUCACCGCGCGGGGGCCAUGCGGCCCAGGCCCAGGUCGGGGGCGGCCACAAUUCCAUUAUGGGGGCCCCACUAGUUGGGGUGGCCUGGCCCUCCAAAGCCCCUUGGNCAUUUUCCCCCANGUGUCUCCUCAUUAACCCCGGCUCGGUUUGGGGGGGUUAGGGCCAAGCAUGCCACACGUGGNGCCGUUUUUUCCCGGGCCGGCGGUUUAUUGGGUUCNACAGCNAAUGGGCCCCCCCUUAUUAGCAUCGGGUUAGUCGGGCGGCGCCACCACACCGGCCACNCANACAUUUUCCCCCNGGCCUCNGGGGGCUGUUCACAAUUCUACGCCCCGUUUGGGCGGUUUAUAUAGGGAGGGGGCCAUUAGGCACCCUGGGAGGUGUACACCUCCCCUNACAGGAGGGCCCCCGUUUCNCACAAGGCCCGAUCCCCCGAGGGGCUCUUUNGCCAUACGCCUGUUUUACCGUGGUUUGAGGCCCCCCAGAAGGCAACGCCCCANACCCGAGGGUUUUCACACUUUACCCGGCACNCCUGGUGGGUGCUUUGG
This 1045-nucleotide ribosomal RNA is filed under the name uncultured bacterium. RNAcentral's name for it is "partial 16S ribosomal RNA". The record is from RNAcentral.